Molecule: ribosomal RNA, 253 nt
Filed under: uncultured bacterium
Lineage: Bacteria
Description: partial 16S ribosomal RNA
Rfam family: Bacterial small subunit ribosomal RNA
Source: RNAcentral
UACAGAGGGGGCAAGCGUUGUUCGGAAUUACUGGGCGUAAAGGGCGCGUAGGCGGCCUUCUAAGUCAGACGUGAAAUCCCUCGGCUCAACCGGGGAACUGCGUCUGAGACUGGAAGGCUUGAAUCCGGGAGAGGGAUGUGGAAUUCCAGGUGUAGCGGUGAAAUGCGUAGAUAUCUGGAGGAACACCGGUGGCGAAGGCGGCAUCCUGGACCGGUACUGACGCUGAGACGCGAAAGCGUGGGGAGCGAACAGG